RNAcentral lists this ribosomal RNA (727 nucleotides) under uncultured bacterium. RNAcentral describes it as "bacterial SSU rRNA". It matches the Rfam family "Bacterial small subunit ribosomal RNA", at positions 8 to 731 of the family's 1533-position model. The record is from RNAcentral.
AGACUUUGAUUAUGGCUCAGGACGAACGCUGGCGGCGCGCCUAACACAUGCAAGUCGAACGGGGUCCUUUUAGGAAGCUUGCUUCUUGGCUGGACCUAGUGGCGGACGGGUGAGUAACACGUGAGCAACCUGCCCUAGAGUGGGGGAUAACGUCUGGAAACGGACGCUAAUACCGCAUAAUAUCGAGAGCCGGCAUCGGUUUUCGAUCAAAGGAUUUAUUCGCUUUAGGGAUGGGCUCGCGUCCGAUUAGAUAGUUGGUGAGGUAACGGCUCACCAAGUCUACGAUCGGUAGCCGGACUGAGAGGUUGAUCGGCCACAUUGGGACUGAGACACGGCCCAGACUCCUACGGGAGGCAGCAGUGGGGGAUAUUGCACAAUGGGGGAAACCCUGAUGCAGCGACGCCGCGUGAGUGAAGACGGCCUUCGGGUUGUAAAGCUCUGUUGAGGGGGACGAUAAUGACGGUACCCCUUUAGAAAGCCACGGCUAACUACGUGCCAGCAGCCGCGGUAAUACGUAGUGGCGAGCGUUGUCCGGAAUUACUGGGUGUAAAGGGAGCGUACGGCGGGGCGUUUAAGUUGGCAUGUGAAAUACCGCGGCUCAACCGCGGGGCUGCAUCCAAAACUGGAUCUCUUGAGUGAAGUAGAGGGCAAGCGGAAUUCCUAGUGUACGCGGUGCAAAUGCGUAGAUACUUCAGGAGGAACACCAGUUGGCGAAGGCGGCUUGCCU